GCUGACAGGAGCGCAGCGAGCUCCGCUAAAACAAGGCUUGGUAUUUUUAGAGCACUUUCCCUGCAUAAGGACUCAGAGCACUUUGCCACGUUUGUAAGCAGUCGUUCCACAGGUGUUGCAACACCUGUACUGUGGAACUUCCUGCCACUUGACUGUUAGUCACUGAACUCUUUCAAAAUGACUUUAUGUUUCAGCAGGGACUUGGCCACAUCUGGUCUUAGAACAUAUUUAAACAUCUAAAGAAAGUUUAUUGUUUUAACUGUUUCAAUGUUUUAGGUAUGUUUUUAUUUUAUUUUUAAUUGUGUGUUUUUUUCAGUUACAGAACUGUUUGUCACCCAGGGGGGCAGAUAGGGCUUCUCAACCCGGCAAGGGGGAGGAUAAGCCAUCCAGGGGAAGGAAACUCUGAUCCUAAACCUCUGCUGUCUUUGGGAUAUCUUUGGGAGACGAAAUGAAAGGGCUCAGGAGGAUACCGCAGAGGACCUUAAGGUCCAUGAAUAACCAUAGUUUAGAGGUCCUGGGCCCUAAGGAAGUCAGACUUUCCUCCACCAGGGCCAGGGCCUUCUCAGUGAUGGCUCCGACCUGGUGGAAUGCUCUGUCCCAUGAGACCAGGGCCCUGCAGGAUUUAACCUCCUUCCGCCGGGCCUGUAAGACAGAGCUAUUCCGCCUGGCCUUUAAUUUGAAUUCAGCCUGAUCUUUUAUUUCCCUUCUCUUCCUUCCCCCUCCCCUUUUAUGAAGAUCAUCCACUCUGAGACCCCACAGCUAAUUCUCCCCUGGCCUCCUCACUGGCCCAAGUAGGACCAAUUCAGCCAGCUAGCCCUGGGGAUUAUCAAAUUGAUUUUUUAUUUUUGAAUUUUAUUGUUAUUCAUGUUUUUAUACUGUAUUUUAUGCUGUUUUUAUAAUUAAUUAAUAAUUAAAGCGGAUCUCCUACCAAAAGGCUGAUAUUAGGGGGAAUGUGCGUCAAAAUGAUUAUGCUAGCGUGAACAACAUACAGAAAUGCAUUCUAUGUUAGGCAAGGUUACAUUAAAAAAAGGCACUGGGGAAAUAUCCACUAGAAAGCCAUGAAAAGAGAAAGAAAUUUGCAAGCGCAGAGCUAUGGCGAAUUGAAUUCAAGCCACGCAAAGCUAAACCAUGGUUUGGCAUAGCGUGUUGACCUAACCUGGGCUUGUGAUUUAGGUCUCCUGGAUAAACCAUGGGCUGCAAACCAUAAGAGGAACCUUGGUUAAACCUUAGCCUGCAGAGAGCUAAACCACCAGCCUGGACAAUGUGCUAGGCCAAACGAUGGCUGAGGUUCAGAGGGGCACAGCAACAAAAUGUCUGGGAAGGAGCCAAGCAGAUGCAACCGCUUCUCCUACAGCCCACCCUUUCACAACAAACCACGGUUUCCAUGUCAUCCAGACCAGUGAAUACAAGCAAGAGAGAAGAUGGGGCAGGAAAGAGAACCGUCAAUAUUUUAGUUUCACAAACAUUUACUAGUUAAAUCCUGACAUUCUUCCCCUUCUCAAGGAGCAAAGACUUUUAACUCCAAAUUGCACAGAUCAGGAAAAACAAGAUGCACUGGGCAGGAUGGGGAAGAUGAUUAUCAAGCUUCGGAAUUCCUGAGAUUUUUGUUUUGCCUUCUCGUCUCCUCCUCAGAUCUCCACCCCACAGAUCCCAAAAGAUAAAAGGCACCCUUCAGCAGUCAGUGAAGAACUACUAGUGGCACAUCCUUCAAAAAGCAUCUACAGAGCACUUUUGGGCAUACAGUGAGCGCUUUAAGGACUUGUUCCAUGGAAUUGGUCAGAACCCUGCCAAAUAGCCUAAAAGAGCCACUGCCAGUCUGAGCAGACGAUGUUGAGCUAAAUGGAGCACUGGUCUCACUCAAUAUAAGGCAGCUGCCAAUGUGCCUCUUGAUAAGCAAAACACUUUGCCUCCCUGGAAGCUAAUAAGUUAGCAAAAAUGUAUAGAACAAGUACAAACAGCUGCUGGAAAUGUAAAGAAAAAGAAGGUACCUUGUAUUACAUGUGGUGGUCGUGUAAGGUAAUAAAAGCUUUCUGGGAGAUGAUAUAUAAUGAAAUGGAAAAAAUGUUUAAAAUACUUUUUGUUUAAAAAAUGGAAGCUUUUCUAUUAGGAACUAUAGGUACAGAAGUUCAAACGGACCAGAAAAGUCUCUUUAUGUAUGCGACAGCAGCCGCACGGAUGCUACUAGGCCAGGGAUGGAAAGAAGAAACAGUCGCUACCAGGGACCAAAGGCAAGCUAAGCUAAUGGACUACGCAGAAAUGGCAAAGGUGAGUGGAAAGCUCAGGAACAAAGAGGACAAAAAGCUUUUUAAAAGAAUGAGAAAAAAUUAUAAUCUAUUUAAGAGACCAAUGCAAGCAGAUGAAAACAUUAGCAGGAUUUUAAUCUCACUUGUAAUGUAACAAAUAUUAUGGACAAUACGGAUUGAUAUAAAAGAUAGAUUAUAGAAUAA
Molecule: non-coding RNA, 2447 nt
Organism: Podarcis lilfordi (Lilford's wall lizard)
Lineage: Eukaryota; Metazoa; Chordata; Lepidosauria; Squamata; Lacertidae
Source: the annotation of a GenBank genome assembly